This 253-nucleotide ribosomal RNA is filed under the name uncultured bacterium. RNAcentral describes it as "partial 16S ribosomal RNA". It matches the Rfam family "Bacterial small subunit ribosomal RNA", at positions 524 to 776 of the family's 1533-position model. The record is from RNAcentral.
UACGUAGGUGGCAAGCGUUGUCCGGAAUUACUAGGCGUAAAGGGCAGGUAGGUGGUUUCGUAAGUCUGUUGUGAAAGCUCCCGGCUUAACUGGGAGAGGUCAACAGAUACUGCGAGGCUUGAGUAUGGGAGAGGGUACUGGAAUUCCCGGUGUAGCGGUGGAAUGCGUAGAGAUCCGGAAGAACACCGGUGGCGAAGGCGGUGUGCUGGGCCGUUGCUGACGCUGAGGCGCGACAGCGUGGGAAGCAAACAGG